This 408-nucleotide ribosomal RNA is filed under the name uncultured bacterium. Its description in RNAcentral is "partial 16S ribosomal RNA". It matches the Rfam family "Bacterial small subunit ribosomal RNA", at positions 28 to 526 of the family's 1533-position model. The record is from RNAcentral.
GACGAACGCUGGCGGCGUGCCUAAUACAUGCAAGUCGAACGAAGCGGCGGAUGGGCGAGUAAAGCGUGGGUAACCUGGCCCUAAGUCUGGGAUACCAUUUGGAACCAGAUGCUAAUACCGGAUACUACAGGAUGGAGUUGCGAUGCAUUAGCGAGAUGGUAAGGUAACGGCUUACCAAGGCGAUGAUGCAUAGCCGGGUUGAGAGACUGAUCGUCCACAUUGGGACUGAGACACGGCCCAAACUCCGACGGGAGGCAGCAGUAGGGAAUCUUCCACAAUGGAGGAAAGUCUGAUGGAGCAACGCCGCGUGAGUGAAGAAGGUUUUCGGAUCGUAAAGCUCUGUUGUUGGUGAAGCGGUAAUCAACCAGAAAGUCACGGCUAACUACGUGCCAGCAGCCGCGGUAAUAC